This 322-nucleotide ribosomal RNA is filed under the name uncultured eukaryote. RNAcentral's name for it is "partial 18S ribosomal RNA". It matches the Rfam family "Eukaryotic small subunit ribosomal RNA", at positions 1470 to 1796 of the family's 1831-position model. The record is from RNAcentral.
CCCUUAGAUGUUCUGGGCCGCACGCGUGCUACACUGAGUGGAUCAGCGGGUCAGGUUGCGCGAAAGCGUUUCCUAAUCUUGAAAUCCGCUCGUGAUGGGGAUUGACGGUUGCAAUUUUCUGUCAUGAACGAGGAAUACCUUGUAAGCGCGGGUCAUCAUCCCGCGCUGAAUACGUCCCUGCCCUUUGUACACACCGCCCGUCGCUCCUACCGAUUGAGUGGUCCGGUGAGGCUUUGGGAUCUGAGCGGAAAGAGCGUUUCGCUCGUUCUGCCCGGAAAACUCAGUCGAACCUUAUCAUUUAGAGGAAGGAGAGGUCGUAACA